This 1916-nucleotide long non-coding RNA is filed under the name Drosophila guanche. The record is from RNAcentral. Lineage: Eukaryota; Metazoa; Arthropoda; Insecta; Diptera; Drosophilidae.
GGCUAACUUGAGCAACUCGUGCUCGGAUUGAAAGGAUAACUCGCUUACUGUCCAUGAUGAUGAUGGAACGAUAGAAAUGCCAAAUCUUUUCCAAAAGUCCAUUCCACAUAUUAUAUCCUGUUGGAUAGAUGAAACUAUUAGAAAUUCAAAGUCCGAGUGUAUUGAAUUGUAAUUCAGAGGAACUUUAAUAAAACCAGCUACAAUCUGAGUCUGACCGUCAGCAGUACGAACAACGCCUUUCAUUUUGUUUGUCAGAAGAUUUUUCGAGAGAAUUUUAUCGGCUAAUUUUCCUCCGAUGACGCUUUUAUUGGCUCCGCUAUCUAAUAGCGCAAGGUAACUCUCACCGAGUAUCUCAACUUGAGUAAAAGGACGAAUAUCGCUCGCUUUGUGAACGACCGAGGAAACAGUGACGUGACGUAGGCUUCUCUUUCGCUUCCAAAAUUCACGCAUUCGUUCCGCUGAACGAGACAACACUGCUAAAGGAGGUUUGGGAUCAAAAAUUUCGGCUCUGCGCUUCUGAUAUUCUCGAAGUCUAAUAUGGUAUGGUCUGAAAUGUAGGGGGAGUGGUAUGUCUGAGGAGGAUUUGGAUAUGUCUGGUUUAAGUUCACGUCCGGUAAUAAAAUGUGUAUGUUGAACAUCCGAGACUAACGUCGGAUGUCGCGUCUUGUUGACCGACGGACAUCCUGGGACACGUUUUCCGUAGUCGAUUUACACCUUGCACAGUUGGGCUUGUACGUAUCAGGUACACCACAACCAUAACAGAAAAUACGACGAGGUUUUAGGCAUUCCUGGUAUUUGUGGCCCUGUUCUUCGCAAUUCCAGCAUUUACUAAUUUCGGAAGAUCGGAGUGCAUAAACUUCGUCAAGGGAGUCCCCUUCUUUUUCGGAAUUAUCAUCAGCUUCUUCGUCAUGGCUAAUGGAGUUCACAAACCUCUUGCUAUUCACUACUUCGUGUCGCGAAAAAGGCUUUGACUUCAGAUUUCGAAAGAAUUCCUCGUGCUUGUGACACUCCUUGCGUAAGGUUGCCAAAUCUGGAGUUUCGAUAUGAAGCAAGUCGAGCUUCAGUUCCGACUUUAAAUUCUCGCGAACCUCUAUGGUGACGUCACCGUCCUGCAUAGGCUCUCGUAAAGAGUCUGCGAUAGAUAGCAUCGCAUCUAGAAAAUCGUCAAAGCUUUCAUUACUACCCUGUUUACGCCUACGCAUGGCUGCUUUGAUCUCUCGAUCCGAACGUUGAUCCUGGUAUCUCUCUUGCAACCGGCUGCAUAACUCAUACCAGUCAAGGUUAUUCGUGGUCCUAUGAACACGCCAGUAAAAUGACAAGGCUGAAUCAGUAAAUAAGAGACCGGCGAACUGCGCCAGUAAGGUAAAGUUUCCAUUUAAACAAUUAUUGGUAAGACAAUUCACUCUAUAAAUAAAAUCUUCGAUGGGAAUAUCUUUGGAAGAUCCACUGAAUUUUAUACGCCACUUGGAAAUGAUAUUUGAGAUCUUAUCAGGAGAUUCACUAGGAAGGUCUGUGAAAUUCGCACGAGCACUAUAUGGGCGUGGCCUGUAACUAUGGUUACGAAGAUUACUAGCGCUGCUCAUUCGAGGGAAGGAUGGAGCAAUAUCACUCUCCCAUUCAAGCUGGGGCUCCUCCCGGAAGUUCCUAGAAACAUUUGUCAGGUUCAGAUUCCUCAACUCCGUUGUUAUCUUCUCUGAAAUAACUGCGGUCAUAUUUUCCUGAAAUUUAGUCAUGGACUCUGAAAUAAGUCGUUGGAUAUUUCCUUCGGAAAGAACAUUGGAUUCCUGAGCACGUCUAGUCUGGCCAGGUCCUGGUCGAGGGUUAAGUAGUGCACUUGAGGCUUUUGGGGUAUUUCGUACCUGUGACCUUGUUUUAGGACGAUUUUUCGGAAUUGCUCCGGUGUACGACAAAUUCGC